ACAAGAUACUGUCAGGCUUUGAGUCUGAUAGGUUUUCUCAGAAUUUAGAAAGUCUGAAACUUACACCUACAAAAGCUAAUCAAUGUUUUGUAUCUAACAGACAACUGUAAGAAUUAUAUGUCUAAGCAGUGGAUGACUCUCCGGUGCCCAGGGAGAUUGAAGUAGGAUCAUCUUCAAAGAGCGCAAAGGAAAUGGAUGGGAGACAUGUUUGGUGUUCCUAAUCAUCAAUGAUGUGUUUUAUAGAGAUCCACUUCUGUAAAGACUUCUGUGCUGGGUGAAAUACAAGCAAAGAGGAAAAAACAAUUUUUCUCCAAUUCCUUGUUUAAAAAGCCGAACAUUCGCGAAAGCAGCUGGUCCCAGAGGUGGAAUGCUCCAAAACCCCAUUUGGAGCCAAGUACGUACAUUAUGGACUCGGUCCUGACACCACUUUAUAGAGAACAGACAAUGAGUUUUGGAUCAUCUCUCUUCUGCGUGCUGAGGAAGACUCAGCUGCUGCUUUACCUAAACAAGUCAGCCCAACACUGGGCCUGGAAGGAAUAG
This 540-nucleotide long non-coding RNA is filed under the name Calidris pygmaea (Spoon-billed sandpiper). RNAcentral's name for it is "lncRNA (ENSCPGG00000011554.1)". The record is from RNAcentral. Lineage: Eukaryota; Metazoa; Chordata; Aves; Charadriiformes; Scolopacidae.